RNAcentral lists this ribosomal RNA (433 nucleotides) under uncultured bacterium. Its description in RNAcentral is "partial 16S ribosomal RNA". It matches the Rfam family "Bacterial small subunit ribosomal RNA", at positions 29 to 507 of the family's 1533-position model. The record is from RNAcentral.
AACGAACGCUGGCGGCAUGCCUAACACAUGCAAGUCGAACGAGACCUUCGGGUCUAGUGGCGCACGGGUGCGUAACGCGUGGGAACCUGCCCUUAGGUUCGGAAUAACUCCCCGAAAGGGGUGCUAAUACCGGAUAAUUUCUUCGGACCAAAGAUUUAUCGCCUUUGGAUGGGCCCGCGUUGGAUUAGCUAGUUGGUAGGGUAAAAGCCUACCAAGGCGACGAUCCAUAGCUGGUCUGAGAGGAUGAUCAGCCACACUGGGACUGAGACACGGCCCAGACUCCUACGGGAGGCAGCAGUGGGGAAUAUUGGACAAUGGGCGAAAGCCUGAUCCAGCAAUGCCGCGUGAGUGAUGAAGGCCUUAGGGAUGUAAAGCUCUUUUACACGGGAUGAUAAUGACAGUACCGGGAGAAUAAGCACCGGCUAACUCCGUG